This 316-nucleotide ribosomal RNA is filed under the name Aliidiomarina haloalkalitolerans. Its description in RNAcentral is "bacterial SSU rRNA". It matches the Rfam family "Bacterial small subunit ribosomal RNA", at positions 1 to 313 of the family's 1533-position model. Lineage: Bacteria; Pseudomonadati; Pseudomonadota; Gammaproteobacteria; Alteromonadales; Idiomarinaceae. The record is from RNAcentral.
UUAAAUUGAAGAGUUUGAUCAUGGCUCAGAUUGAACGCUGGCGGCAGGCCUAACACAUGCAAGUCGAGCGGUAACAUUUCUAGCUUGCUAGAAGAUGACGAGCGGCGGACGGGUGAGUACAACUUGGGAAUCUGCCUGAUGGAGGGGGACAACCACUGGAAACGGUGGCUAAUACCGCAUAAUCUUUUCGGAGCAAAGUGGGGGAUCUUCGGACCUCACGCCAUCAGAUGAGCCCAAGCAAGAUUAGGUAGUUGGUGGGGUAAAGGCCUACCAAGCCGACGAUCUUUAGCUGGUCUGAGAGGAUGAUCAGCCACAC